Molecule: ribosomal RNA, 602 nt
Filed under: Trieres chinensis
Lineage: Eukaryota; Bacillariophyta; Thalassiosirophyceae; Eupodiscales; Parodontellaceae
Description: partial Bacterial large subunit ribosomal RNA
Rfam family: Bacterial large subunit ribosomal RNA
Source: RNAcentral
GCGAAGUCGCAAGACGAUGUAUAUGGACUGACGCCUGCCCGGUGCUGGAAGGUUAAAAGGAGAGGUGAGAGCUUUGAAUUGAAGCCCCAGUAAACGGCGGCCGUAACUAUAACGGUCCUAAGGUAGCGAAAUUCCUUGUCGGGUAAGUUCCGACCUGCACGAAUGGCGUAACGACUUCCCCACUGUCUCCAGCAUCGACUCAGCGAAAUUGAAUUGCCCGUGAAGAUGCGGGCUACCCGCGGUUAGACGGAAAGACCCCGUGCACCUUUACUACAGCUUUGCAUUGGACUUUGAACCUAUUUGUGUAGGAUAGGUGGGAGACUUUGAAGCGUGAACGCUAGUUUGCGUGGAGUCAUCCUUGAAAUACCACCCUGGUAUGUUUGGAGUCCUAACCCAGGUCCGUAAUCCGGAUCGGGGACAAUGUAUGGUGGGUAGUUUGACUGGGGCGGUCUCCUCCCAAAUAGUAACGGAGGAGCACGAAGGUUAGCUAAUCACGGUCGGACAUCGUGAGGUUAGUGCAAUGGCAUAAGCUAGCUUAACUGCGAGACAGACACGUCGAGCAGGUACGAAAGUAGGUCUUAGUGAUCCGGUGGUUCUGUAUG